This is a non-coding RNA of Echinostoma caproni, 82 nucleotides long. The record is from Rfam. Lineage: Eukaryota; Metazoa; Platyhelminthes; Trematoda; Plagiorchiida; Echinostomatidae.
GGCCUCGUAUCUCAGCUGGUAGAGCAUACGCGUACUAAGCGUAGACGAUGUACAUGCGUGGGUUCGAAUCCCACCGAGGCUA